UUCACGGCCAUGAUGCCUACCAUUCUGACCUGUGAGUUGAUCGAUUUCGAGUUUUUGGCCACAAAUAUAAUCUGGAAUCUUUAAUUCGCAGUUCCCACCGAAAUGUCAGUGUUCGUGAGG
RNAcentral lists this microRNA precursor (120 nucleotides) under Drosophila simulans. RNAcentral describes it as "microRNA dsi-mir-1005 precursor". The stretch from base 32 to 91 matches the Rfam family "mir-1005 microRNA precursor family". Lineage: Eukaryota; Metazoa; Arthropoda; Insecta; Diptera; Drosophilidae. The record is from miRBase by way of RNAcentral.